GCGGGUAUUAGCGCUUUCUUAUCAAGAAGGCGUCAUCACGAAAGCUUCCCAAGCUUCAGUUACGGGUUCGAUUCCCGUUACCCGCUCCA
This 89-nucleotide transfer RNA is filed under the name Roseovarius sp. RNAcentral describes it as "tRNA-OTHER". It matches the Rfam family "tRNA". Rfam says of the family: Transfer RNA (tRNA) molecules are approximately 80 nucleotides in length. Lineage: Bacteria; Pseudomonadati; Pseudomonadota; Alphaproteobacteria; Rhodobacterales; Roseobacteraceae. The record is from RNAcentral.